AGUCUCAGCCCACUCCCGUGCGUGCUGGAUAGGGUUCCCCGCCACCCUCACCGGUCGCCGCCGUCCUCACCGGUUGCCGCCGCCGUCGGUUUCCCCUACAUGGCUGGAGGAUAGGCCAUCCCGCCGGUCCAUUCCCGCCCCACUGUGAGGGAGGAGACUGACCAGUUGCUCCUCCCCGCCGGUCGCCACCCGCCACCCCAAGGAUCAAGGCCGGCCGCGCCGGUCCCUGUCGGUCGCUGCUCCGGAUCCAGGCCGCCCACCGCCCCGCCCCCGUUAGCCCGAUCUAUUUCCCACCGGAUCCCAUCUUCGCCGCCGUCCGACGCGCCUUCUUCAAGGAGCUGCGACCCCAUGUCUCAGAGGAGCUAGCCCCGACGCCAUUGAUGCCCGAGCGACGCUCCCAAGCUAGGAGCGGCACCAGGACAACCACGCCCCCGAAGCCUAAACUGCAAGUUUAUUUUCAGAGUACUUGUUGUGUGCAAAAUCCUACCCUGGCGCAUGUUGUUGGUUGUUUAAUUCUGGAAUCACAAGUUAAUGCAUUUUGCUAUGUGGGUACCCAGCCAUCCAGUAUGUCGUCUGCAUUCCUAAUGGCUCUUCUAUCCGUGCAUCAACACCAAUAUUGGAUACAAGCUUUCCAAUCGCCACAACAUCUUGGUCUGGAAGGACAGAAGCGGCAUGAGAUUUCUUAGAUUUUGAUGGAUACAUGCACAAUGAGGAUGAUGCCAAAUUUGGGCAACUACAUUGCCGUCUCACCCCACUCACCCUCAGGUUUGUCUUCUGCCUUUUUCUGUUCUAUUCUAAUGGUACUUGAUGCUCCCUGGAUGGAAUUAGUACAUGAAUGUUGUUUGAAGUGUGAGCUUGGAUUCAGGUCGAUUGGCUGAGUAAGUGGACUAAAAUUAAGCAAACAUAU
Long non-coding RNA from Triticum dicoccoides, 907 nucleotides. RefSeq lists it as uncharacterized. NCBI's taxonomy places the organism in Eukaryota, Viridiplantae, Streptophyta, Magnoliopsida, Poales, Poaceae. The transcript is spliced from 3 exons. The record is from RefSeq and is a predicted model, not a curated record.